Non-coding RNA from Podarcis lilfordi (Lilford's wall lizard), 75 nucleotides. The record is from the annotation of a GenBank genome assembly. Lineage: Eukaryota; Metazoa; Chordata; Lepidosauria; Squamata; Lacertidae.
UAUCCUGCUCAACAUAGCUCAGUCGGUAAAGCAUGAGACGUCCAGGGUGGUGGGUUCAAGCCCCACAUUGGAUAA